RNAcentral lists this ribosomal RNA (451 nucleotides) under uncultured bacterium. RNAcentral's name for it is "partial 16S ribosomal RNA". It matches the Rfam family "Bacterial small subunit ribosomal RNA", at positions 28 to 507 of the family's 1533-position model. The record is from RNAcentral.
AGCGAACGCUGGCGGCAUGCCUAACACAUGCAAGUCGCACGGGGGGGCUUCGGCCUCCCAGUGGCGGACGGGUGAGGAACGCGUAGGGACCUGUCGAGGGGUGGGGGAUAACCGCGGGAAACUGCGGCUAAUACCGCAUGACGCCGCGGCGUGACAGCCGGGGCCAAAGGCGAAAGCCGCCCGCCGAGGGGCCUGCGUCCGAUUAGCUGGUCGGCGGGGUGGCGGCCCACCAAGGCGUCGAUCGGUAGCUGGUCUGAGAGGGUGAUCAGCCACACCGGGACUGAGACACGGCCCGGACUCCUACGGGAGGCAGCAGUGGGGAAUAUUGGACAAUGGGCGCAAGCCUGAUCCAGCAAUGCCGCGUGGGUGAAGAAGGUCUUCGGAUUGUAAAGCCCUUUCGGCGGGGACGAUGGUGACGGUACCCGCAGAAGAAGCCCCGGCUAACUUCGUG